GUGUGGCAGCACAUACACGAAAAUUGGAACGACACAGAGAAGAUUAGCAAGGCCUCAGUGCUAGGAUGACAUGCAGAUUCGUGAAGUGUUCCACGUUUUA
This 100-nucleotide small nuclear RNA is filed under the name Carlito syrichta (Philippine tarsier). The record is from RNAcentral. Lineage: Eukaryota; Metazoa; Chordata; Mammalia; Primates; Tarsiidae.